UACGUAGGUCCCGAGCGUUGUCCGGAUUUAUUGGGCGUAAAGCGAGCGCAGGUGGUUUAUUAAGUCUGGUGUAAAAGGCAGUGGCUCAACCAUUGUAUGCAUUGGAAACUGGUAGACUUGAGUGCAGGAGAAGAGAGUGGAAUUCCAUGUGUAGCGGUGAAAUGCGUAGAUAUAUGGAGGAACACCGGUGGCGAAAGCGGCUCUCUGGCCUGUAACUGACACUGAGGCUCGAAAACGUGGGGAGCAAACAGG
RNAcentral lists this ribosomal RNA (252 nucleotides) under uncultured bacterium. RNAcentral describes it as "partial 16S ribosomal RNA". It matches the Rfam family "Bacterial small subunit ribosomal RNA", at positions 524 to 776 of the family's 1533-position model. The record is from RNAcentral.